Molecule: long non-coding RNA, 312 nt
Filed under: Chrysolophus pictus (golden pheasant)
Lineage: Eukaryota; Metazoa; Chordata; Aves; Galliformes; Phasianidae
Description: lncRNA (ENSCPIG00010013360.1)
Source: RNAcentral
GUGUUUAUCCCAGCCUGCGGCCCGGCCCAGCGUGGGUUUCCAUGGAAAACUUCCAUCGAAAACAAGGAGAAAAGGAGUUACAGCAGGAGUGACUCAGCCACAACUGGAAGCUUCUGCGGAUGAGGCAGAGAAGGGGGGGACUCUUCCCACCAGCUUGGUCCCAAUCGGGCAGUGGGGCCCAGGGACACCCCUGGACAUGUCCUGCAGCUCUCUCGUGCCCAAAUCCCAGCAUACUGCAGCUCACAAGAAGGUAGAUCAUAGGAACUAGACCUGGACCAGCAAAAGGCCAAAAGCUGCGUCUUUGUUCCCCAA